UACGUAGGGGGGCUAGCGUUGUCCGGAAUCAUUGGGCGUAAAGAGCGUGUAGGCGGCUUGGUAAGUCCGCUGUGAAAGUCCAGGGCUCAACCCUGGAAUGCCAGUGGAUACUGUCAAGCUAGAGUCCGGAAGAGGCGAGUGGAAUUCCUGGUGUAGCGGUGAAAUGCGCAGAUAUCAGGAGGAACACCGGUGGCGAAGGCGGGUCUCUGGGCCGGAUAUUGACGCUGGAGGAGCGAAAGCGUGGGGAGCAAACAGG
Molecule: ribosomal RNA, 256 nt
Filed under: uncultured bacterium
Lineage: Bacteria
Description: partial 16S ribosomal RNA
Rfam family: Bacterial small subunit ribosomal RNA
Source: RNAcentral